This 683-nucleotide long non-coding RNA is filed under the name Nicotiana tabacum (common tobacco). RNAcentral's name for it is "long non-coding RNA (NTAB_LNC001200)". The record is from RNAcentral. Lineage: Eukaryota; Viridiplantae; Streptophyta; Magnoliopsida; Solanales; Solanaceae.
AACAACAACAAAAAACCCAGUGUAAUCCCACAAGUGGGGUUCAAUAAAAGCAAAGACAGAGCAUUGUUAAAAAGAAAUAAAAUGAUGGAUACAAUUUCAAUGAAUUUAUACAUAUUCAAUAAAUUUCUUAAGACAAGGUUUGGACCAAAGCUACUAGGAGCAACCAAACAGGGCUAGCUCCGCCCCCUGCACACACACACACAUACAAGUGCGCACUCGCACAAACAACAAUAUAUACAUGUACAAUCUCUUAACAGAAUUUAAUAACACAAAGCAAAUCGGAACUAACCUGAAGCUCGCCUAUCACAUCAGAUAAUUUACCGUUUUUGAAAAGCAAAGUACCUGUAUACCCUAAUAUGCACACAACACACAUAUAUUAUCAGAUCAAAUUACUAAAAUCAAUCACAAACAAAAUUAGCAAAAGUCUCAACAAAAAACAAAUAGCCGAAGAACAAGAGUGUGUGUGCGUGUGUGUGUAUACCAGCUCCGACGAUAAAUACGAUCUUAGUUAAGCCUACUCCAGCUUGCAUAGCCAUGGCCGGCGAUGGUCCGGUGAUCAACAAAUCCUCGGUCUUUUUAUGACUCUCCGGCGAGUGAUUUCGGAGUUCAAAUGCAAAAAGUGUGAAUAUGGAGCUAUAUCUGGUAUUUAUAUGCCUAUAUUACCCUUUCGCGACUUGUGUGAA